GCCUUUAUUUAAACUCUUUUGCAAUAUCAAAGUAGAAUCGCAACUGGUCCUCUAAUAAGGUCUCAGUUGUUCUAGAAGAACAGAAAACGAAAAGAAAAAAAAAUUAGUAUUUAAUCAUUUAUUGCAUUGUAUCAUUUCUAAGAAAGAAGAGGACCAUGUUCUCCAACGAUGGGGGAGAUUCUUGGGAACGAAUAAGAUCCAUUGCGCCAUUGGUCUUUUUCUCUUUUAUUUUAGAAGUCAAAUUCCAACACGUCUCUCCAGUUUCUUUAUUCCAAUAGAAAUCGACGCACGCACGAAGAAAGAUGUUCUUGCCUGCGCCUGGUGUACGGUGGUGCACGCUAUUAUCAAACGGGAAUUAACAUUGGCAAAGGAAUAUCUACUAUUACCAAAAAAAAAAAACAUUAUAUGGGUAUAUUUGUUUAUGUGAAAGCGAGAAGGAGAGAAGCAAUUUUAAGCUCACCAUGUUAAUUUUUAUUAUUUAAUUCUAAAUUUCUCGAAAUACUGUAAUUGGCUACGACCUACCUCGUGUUCAAGGCAAUUAUGAAAAAAAAAAAGAGAGAAAAUUAAAAACUUAUAUAUUAACAAUUGAAAAUUUUAGCUUUUACCUCAUUUACUUUCCACCAAAUAAAUAAUAGAACUAGAGAAACUUCAGUUUCAUACCUAUAAAAAUAAAUAGUAAAAGAAAAGUAAUUUUCAUUUGAACUCUAAUUCGCUCGAAAAUCUAGCUCAACCUGAACUUCACUUUCAGUGAAAUAAACAUGUCCUAUACUAACCAUAUUUUCAACUUUUUUCUUACUCGAAUAAUAAUAAAUAUGCUUUGUCAAUAUCAAUUUUUUUUUUAAAAAAAAUAAGAGUGAAAAAUUCAAAAUUAAAAUCUAAUUGGCUGGAUAUAUUUUAUGACUAAUUGGUUACAUAACAAUAUAAAAAAAUUUUAGAAAUCUAAGUCUUCUUGCUAGAAUAACAUUUCUUUUUAUACAAUUAAUAUAUUAAGCUAUUUGAUGUGUAAAAUUGUGUCUGUAAUUACAAAUAGAUUAUUUUAUAUGUAGUGAGAAAAUGUAAUAAAAAGAAUAUUUAUUCAUUUUAUAAAUAUUAAUACAUCAAACAAAUUAUAUUGACUUAGUUAAAAUAUAAUUUUGCAGUCCAAAAUAAAAAGAGUAGAGCAUACCUCGUGGUUCCAACCCCUAACACAACAGCAAUAGGGAAUUUUCCAGAAAAUAUAUUAAUUUAUUUAACUAUAAUCUAUAAUGUAAAUCAUAUGUAUUAAAUUAAAUUUUAAUUUUAACAUUCUGAUCAUCAAAUUCAAAGAUUUACUUCGGAAUUGCAUUUUUAAAAAUACCUGUUUUUAUGAUUUGUAACGUCUAAAAAAAUUUAAGUAUAUGUUUAACAUUUUUAUCCCAGUAUUAUAUAAUUAUAGUGGCAAUAAGAUAUAUACGUAUAAAAAAAAAAAAAAAAAACUUUAUUGUAUGUAGUUUUUCAUUGACCUAUCGUUGAGGACGAGCGAUCUAUUGUCACAUUUAAUUUUAUCUUUAUUAAAAAAUUAUAAUUUUUCUUUCUAAAAUCUAUUUUUUUAAAAAUUUUAGUAUUAAAAAUUAUUCAUUAAUUUUAAAUAAAAAUAAAAUUAAUAUAAAACAGUUAAUCAAAGGUUACAGAGAGAGCUUUUCACUGAAAUUUUAUAUAAAACAUAUAUCCUAAAUAAAUAUAUUUAUAUGUACGCGUGGUGCAUGCAAUAAUUUCUCAGCGAAUAGAAGGCGUUGAUGGUGGGGAGUUAAAAAGCUAAACCUCCGCUCCUUUAAUUCCCACCACCUUCGUUCGCCAAAAAUUAUACAUGAGCCAAAUUUUGCCCCUGUUUUUCUCCAUUUCAAACUAAAACCUCGUCCCACCAUUCAAAAACCCUAAUCUCGUGCUCCAAAUUAAUACUAGUACUAGUAUUCCACAACCACCCCCAAAAUUUGAAUACACGGCUCUUUCUACGGGAAAAGGGGGAGAGCUCAAGCGCACCUCAAUCGCCGUUCAUGGAGCCCUCUCACGGCCAUAGCCCCCUCCCCCUCAACGAGAACGACUCCCAGGACAUGGUCCUCUUCGAGGUCCUCCGCGAGGCCUCCGCCAUG
Molecule: long non-coding RNA, 2108 nt
Filed under: Ananas comosus (pineapple)
Lineage: Eukaryota; Viridiplantae; Streptophyta; Magnoliopsida; Poales; Bromeliaceae
Description: long non-coding RNA (ACOM_LNC018451)
Source: RNAcentral